Molecule: non-coding RNA, 145 nt
Organism: Colletotrichum orbiculare MAFF 240422
Lineage: Eukaryota; Fungi; Ascomycota; Sordariomycetes; Glomerellales; Glomerellaceae
Source: Rfam
AUCCAAGUGCAAGGGCUUUACGCGUAUCAGUGAGGAUUCGUCCGAGAUCGUGUUUUUGCUAGUUGAAAACUAUACUAUGACCACUCCUAGUUGGCUUCGGCUGGCUAGGGAAUUUUGGGAACACUUUUUUCCUUGGACGGGAAGU